This is a long non-coding RNA of Neogale vison (American mink), 261 nucleotides long. RefSeq lists it as uncharacterized. The transcript has 2 exons. The record is from RefSeq and is a predicted model, not a curated record. Lineage: Eukaryota; Metazoa; Chordata; Mammalia; Carnivora; Mustelidae.
CUGGGGGCCGCCAUCGUGGCACACCUGACGUACAGGAGGCGCGGCGGCAGCGUUUUCGCGGUGACAGGAUGCAAGAUACCUUUAUUGCAUCAAGAGAAAGACUGGGUAGAGGAGAGAAGACAAGAGCCCCAGUCAUAAGAGGAAGAAAGAAAAGGAAGAUCACACGUGCAGUGAAGCGGGUUACGGAGGAAAUGGGAACUAUGAAAUUAUGGCAAUGUUCAGAGGUGAUAGGGCUGUGAACAAUGUAAAGGUUCUCCAGUA